Molecule: long non-coding RNA, 1020 nt
Filed under: Gadus morhua (Atlantic cod)
Lineage: Eukaryota; Metazoa; Chordata; Actinopteri; Gadiformes; Gadidae
Description: lncRNA (ENSGMOG00000029493.1)
Source: RNAcentral
GACGCUAUAGAUCUCUGAAGACUGGAACGACGCGCUUCAGCAACAGCUUCCACCCUUCAGCAAUUAGACUCCUGAAGCUUUACAACUCUACUAAUAUUUUUAUUCAAAUUUAUUCCCUCCCCCCACCGGAAGGAGCUACAAAAAAUACCACCAACUUUGUUGUGUGGCUAUUAAAGAUGCUAUUCUGUGUGGCACAUCACAUAAGUGUGAUCCUAAGGAGAACACAAACACAUUUUAAACAUGUGAUGGCUGUUACAUCAGCUCACGUAUCAUGUGCCGCCCUGAGGGUGAAAUAGGAAAAGUACCCAGAGAUGUAUAACAAAGGAACAUUUGUUGAGAAAAUGGGUUGGACUGGUUAAGGGCCGAGCACCUCCGUCACCUCGUCUGUGAACAGCUGAAAACCGUACUGGGAACAAGAGCAUAAAAAGCUUGGGAUGGGUAUAAAAGCGCAGGGGUCCUCGUAAACAUCCAAAUGUAAAUCACUCGGCCUUGUGGCUGCUUGUUCACGGUUGACAAUAGGGUCUUCUGUCCUUCUUGCUCCGGACUCCUUGAUUCCUCCUACUCUCUUAUUUAGAUGAAGUGAUAGAAUUCGGCUUCUACCACAGAAGCUCUGGCAUGGAUGGAUACAAAGAAACAGAAAAAGGCUUACAUAUGGUCUGACAGUUCGUUGGUGAACAGUAACUCAGACAGUCUGAGUCACUGGGUGGUAAGAGAAUGGCAGAACCACAAAGGAAGCUUACUCAAACCAGUUUAUGGAAAACAAUAGAGGAAUUACACAAGAAAAAGUGUGAUAAAUUAAAUCACGUACCCGCCCAUACAGGUGAACAAACGCAGGAAUGUGAAGGGAAUCGCAUGGCUGACGAAUUGUCAGUGACCAGAAGAGAUUUCCCUCGGCAGGCAAGGGUGGUCACAGGGAAUAUGUUGCUUAUGCAUCCAAAAGAAUGGUCAAAAACGGAUCUCUGGAAUCCUCUCGAGUCGGGGAGACGGCUGUUUCAUCCCCCUCCCCGAGCACGCUGCUGA